UGCGUAACGCGUAUGCAACCUACCUUUAUCAGGGGGAUAGCCCGGAGAAAUCCGGAUUAAUACCGCAUAAAAUCACAGAAUAGCAUUAUUUAAUGAUCAAACAUUUAUGGGAUAAAGAUGGGCAUACGUGUCAUUAGCUAGUUGGCGGGGUAACGGCCCACCAAGGCGACGAUGACUAGGGGAUCUGAGAGGAUGACCCCCCACACUGGUACUGAGACACGGACCAGACUCCUACGGGAGGCAGCAGUAAGGAAUAUUGGUCAAUGGAGGCAACUCUGAACCAGCCAUGCCGCGUGCAGGAAGACUGCCCUAUGGGUUGUAAACUGCUUUUAUCCGGGAAUAAACCUCUGCUCGUGAGCAGAGCUGAAUGUACCGGAAGAAUAAGGAUCGGCUAACUCCGUGCCAGCAGCCGCGGUAAUACGGAGGAUCCAAGCGUUAUCCGGAUUUAUUGGGUUUAAAGGGUGCGUAGGCGGCCUGUUAAGUCAGGGGUGAAAGACGGUAG
RNAcentral lists this ribosomal RNA (502 nucleotides) under uncultured bacterium. Its description in RNAcentral is "bacterial SSU rRNA". It matches the Rfam family "Bacterial small subunit ribosomal RNA", at positions 107 to 607 of the family's 1533-position model. The record is from RNAcentral.